RNAcentral lists this ribosomal RNA (253 nucleotides) under uncultured bacterium. RNAcentral describes it as "partial 16S ribosomal RNA". It matches the Rfam family "Bacterial small subunit ribosomal RNA", at positions 524 to 776 of the family's 1533-position model. The record is from RNAcentral.
UACGGAGGGUGCAAGCGUUAUCCGGAUUCACUGGGUUUAAAGGGUGCGUAGGCGGGUAAGUAAGUCCGUGGUGAAAUCUUUGAGCUUAACUCAGAAACUGCCGUGGAUACUAUUUGCCUUGAAUAUUGUGGAGGUGAGCGGAAUAUGUCAUGUAGCGGGGAAAUGCUUAGAUAUGACAUAGAACACCAAUUGCGAAGGCAGCUCACUACACAAUCAUUGACGCUGAGGCACGAAAGCGUGGGGAUCAAACAGG